This is a long non-coding RNA of Oncorhynchus keta (chum salmon), 713 nucleotides long. RefSeq lists it as uncharacterized. NCBI's taxonomy places the organism in Eukaryota, Metazoa, Chordata, Actinopteri, Salmoniformes, Salmonidae. The transcript has 3 exons. The record is from RefSeq and is a predicted model, not a curated record.
AUUGUAGUUAACAUACCAACCUGGACUCCUUGGGCAGGUGAACCGUAUGAUUGUAGUUAACAUACCAACCUGGACUCCUUGGGCAGGUGAACCGUAUGAUUGUAGUUAACAUACCAACCUGGACUCCUUGGGCAGGUGAACCGUAUGAUUGUAGUUAACAUACCAACCUGGACUCCUUGGGCAGGUGAACCGUAUGAUUGUAGUUAACAUACCAACCUGGACUCCUUGGGCAGGUGAACCAUAUGAUUGUAGUUAACAUACCAACCUGGACUCCUUGGGCAGGUGAACCGUAUGAUUGUAGUUAACAUACCGACCUGGACUCCUUGGGCAGGUGAACCGUAUGAUUGUAGUUAACAUACCAACCUGGACUCCUUGGGCAGGUGAACCGUAUGAUUGUAGUUAACAUACCAACCUGGACUCCUUGGGCAGGUGAACCGUAUGAUUGUAGUUAACAUACCAACCUGGACUCCUUGGGCAGGUGAACCAUAUGAUUGUAGUUAACCAACCUGGACUCAGGGAUUGAAGUGAACGUAAAUCUGUCUCUCUCCAUUUAGUGUAAUAUGUUACGUUUCGUAUGUAUUCAUCUGUGGAUGUUCAUCAUUCAUUUCGUAUGAUGUUACUAAUUGCAACCCAGAUUCACCUGGUCAGUCUGUGAUGGAAAGAGCAGGUGUUCUUAAUGUUUUGUACACUCAGUGUAUGUACAGUAUAGGGGA